Rattus norvegicus (Norway rat) is the source of this 4624-nucleotide non-coding RNA. NCBI's taxonomy places the organism in Eukaryota, Metazoa, Chordata, Mammalia, Rodentia, Muridae. The record is from RefSeq and is a predicted model, not a curated record.
CUAAUUUGGGAUUUGGGGCUCUGAGAGGUAAGGUAUAGAGCUGGGCUUAGCUGGCGCUUUCUCCAUUUUAUCACGCAGUAUAUCCGUUACUUUUCUAUGCUAUGCUAAAAUACCACCACCAAAACGGCUUUGUACAGAGACUAUCUUGUGUCUGGAUGGAUGCAGCAUCUGUCAGUAAAAGUCUGAUGGCCCAAUAUAGCUUAUGCAGGAAGUAGGAGGUGGGACAUCCGGGAGGCAGAAAGGAUUCUGGGAAAGAGGCAGGUAGGAGAUUCAUCUGGAAAAUGUGAGGAGAGGGAAGCACGGUGCCUGGGCAGAGGUAACAAGCCAUGUGGCAGAAUGUAGAUUAGAAUAAAUGGGUUAUUUUUCAGUUAUGUCUAGUCAGAGAAGAGCCUAGCUAUAUUGCCAGAAUUUUGUAAAUCACGAGCUACCCUGUUUCUUUAAAAAUAAGCUUCAGAUAGCUCUAGAAAUUUUAUAUCUCAGCGUGAAAUCCUAACGCGUCAUUCUUCUAGAAAUACAGGUGGUUUUGCUAAUAGUAUUUACUCUCUGGGGAAAAGGGAAAGACACACACACACACACACACACACACACACACACACACACACACACCCACCAAUAAACAAACCAAAACAAAGCCCCACAGUUUUUUGGUUAUGUACUUGUGCUGAAGAAAGCCUGGCUGCCAUGUGGCAGAACUGAAAUGUGAACCCGCAGCCUGAAUGCAAGACUCGACUUGCUAUCAGUAAAUCAUAGCGUCCGGGGAUGAGCUGGAGCUCGAUGGCUAAGUGUUUGCUGAGCAUUCACGAGGCUCUGUGUUCCAUCUAACACACAUAAACACACAUACACACUCACACACACAGUCACACACACACACUCACACACACACUCACAUACACACACUCACACGCAUGCAUGAAUGCACAUGAGACACACUCACAGUCACACACACACAGGCAUGCAUGUACACUGACAGAGAGCACACACAUAUGCAUCAUGCAUGCAUGCACCCGAGACACACGAGACCCACACACACUCACACACAUAUGCAUGCAUGCACACGAGACACACUCGCACACACGAGACCCACACACACUCACACACACAUGCAUGCAUGCACAUGAGAGAGACACACAUGCGCACAUACACACAGAGAGAGAGAGAGAGAGCGCGCGCUCUGUAGCAUUUCGUAAAUAAAUAUUUACCAGGGAUGCAGCAUGGCUCAGUGCUGGCCCCUGCAAUCUUAGCACAGGAUCACAAGUCUAAAAAAAUGUGUUAACUCCACCUAUUCCAGAACUCAUUUCCUUCCAUAGAACAUUCUGUCUUGGCUCUGUGACCCAUUCAGGCCAGCUUUUUCUCAAGAGUCCUCCUUUACAAAAACACAAAAAGCCGCCACCACCACAGUUCCUCCUACCUUGUCUGACUGGCCUACAAGAUCAUCCAAGGCCUGGAGCCUCAGACAAACAGGUCGGGUGUUUAUGAGCCGGUCAUGUAAGGUCUCUCCCUUUCUUUAGAUCGCUCACCGGCAGAGGCUGCCCAUCCCUCCCGGGGCUUUGGUAAGAGCUGUAUGAACUGACCUGUGUGGUUGCAACUCUGCAAACCAACUCAUUUGCAGUCCCGGCAAAGCCCUGUCUGCUCAGGUCAGUAGUUCUGUAAAGGGUCAGAACUUCUUUUCAACCAAAAACCUUUUCUUCAAGCAAGACAAAGUCGCAGCUUCUGGGCUGAAACUUACAAGAGGAGGUUACGGGACACCAGAUGCCUCUGCUUUCGUGAAGGAAUCGUCACAGAGAACACAGUUCUUGCAUCAUGACCAAGAGAUGCACAUUUGUGAGGUGUGUGAAGGGUGCCCUGGAACUUGGUGUGAAUUGCUGGCUUUAGUCACACUCUGCUGGCCAGUGAACAUGCACAGCCCCGACAGCAGGUCCUGACCCUAACCAGGCACUCGGGACACCUUGCAGAACUCCCGCUUCUGCACUGGGAGUGAUGGCCGAACCCCUCUACAGGAAGCCUGCAUACUGCAGCAUCCAAGACGAGCACAUUGCAUUGCUCACCUGCUUUAUAGUAAAAUAAUGUUUACCACCAGUGCCCCUCACAACGCCUCUGUGAGGCCGGGCUCUUAUUAGCCAAUGUUAGAGAGGUAGAGAGCAACGAACUGUCCAGAGUCAGCAACUGGUUGGAACCUGUUGGCAUUUCGUCUAGGCUCCACCCCACAGUUACCUGGCAACAGCCAGGUGUGCCUGACUCACUAGAAAAGGGGCUGCUUGCCCCCUCCUCACUCUCUUGCUCUCUUCUCUUCUUCUCUUACUCUCUAUCGCUUACCCUCUUCUCCCCAUUCCCCUUCCUCCCUCUCUCUCUCUCUCUCUCUCUCUCUCUCUCUCUCUCUCUCUCUCUCUCUCUCUCUGCCUUUCUCUGCCUCCACUACCUCAACUCCCUUCCCCAUGCCCUAAAUAAACUAUUAGGGGGAAGGAAUGCCCGGCAGUGGCACACCCUUCCCCCACACCAUACCACGCCCCCACCAAACCUUCUUAUCUUUUUAUAAAACAUAACAGAACCCAGGUUUAAACCCCGGGCUUCCUAGUUUCUGAACUCAGCAGUUUGGACAUGAGACCCUCCCUCUCAGGCUCAUCGGUCACCUGUAAAUCAGAAAUUAUGAUGACGGCUGGCGUCUGCCUCCUUUUUUUUUUUUUCCUUUUUUUUCCCCCCGGAGCUGAGGACCGAACCCAAGGCCUUGCGCUUGCUAGGCAAGCGCUCUACCACUGAGCUAAAUCCCCAACCCCUGGCAUCCUUUAGACUAUCUGGUGGCACACGGUACUUGUUGAUAACCAGUCGGUAGGUUCUGACCGUUUAGUUCAGACCCCUUACUCAUUUAGUUAACCUGUUAGAGAACAAGGCAAGGCAAGGCGAGGUGUGGCCAAAGGGCAAAAUGUGUGAUAAAGAGCAGAGAGUUUCGGAACCGGAGAAAGGCAUCCGAAAGGUGCCUUACUUACUUCCUACCCUCCUCGGCUGUGGAAGAAGGCGCCUGAGUACCUCAGGGCACACUGACCCAGGACCACGGAUGGGAGGAAGAGGAUCAUCCUCCGACCAGAAACACCCACGGUUCAGGCCUGGGGGAAGAGCCAGGCUCUGGUUAAUCAGGGCCCUUUCUAGCCAGCCCCUUCUCUGAAUGUACUCAGAGCUGACCGUACUUAUGGAUGCGUUUGGCCAAGUCAGACACUAGGGGGACGCAGGAGACAGCUUCAUUUGACACAACUUAUCUCCUAGAGUGGCCAGUAACGCUCUCUACUCAAACAGCGGUUUAAAAACGUUCUCACCUUUCCCGAGAUAGCCUUGCGGCCACCCACGCUAGUAGGAUGCUGCUGAACCCAGUGAAAUGCCCCCAGUGCACAAGGCUCCUACCUGUCGGUCCGCAGCGGCUCGCCCCACCUGCUGCGAGGACUGGCUGGCAGGCACUCCCUCCUCCACCAGCCCUGGGGCACAGGGAAAAGGAUGUUUUGUAACUUUUGGCUAGACCUUCCAGAGGCCGGACAGGAAAUGUCCUCUGGGACAUGGAGCUCAAGGAGUAAUCUCGGGUCUUCCUGGAAGCUACUUGCAAUAACUGGGACAGACCCGGGGUCGCACAGGUCUGAGGGGCCCGUCAGAAGAUUUGGUUGUUGGUAACCAUCUUUAGCCUUUCUGUGAAUGGUCACGCCACAAACUGGAAACUUUUAGAUCAACUGACCUGCAGGGAAACUCAGCAAUUCUCAGAGCUGAUGGGGAUGUGUUUGCAGUCAGGACAUGGGCUAUCUCGUCUAUCCUUUGUCUGAGCAGAAAGCAGCUUUCCGAGGACGCUAAUAACCACUGAACAGUAUAAUCGUAGUGGGCAGGUUUAUGUCCUGUAAGCUACAUAUAAGGAAAGACGUCUCAAAAACAAAAUUUGGGCAAGCAUGGUGGCUUGCACCAGGAUUCAAGGACACAGGAGGCUAAAGCAGGAAGACAGAGAGUUUGAGGCUAGCCUGGGCUAUAUGGAAAGAUCCCGUCUCAAACAAAACAGCAAAUGAACCAACCACAAACGGCUCCAUACCUGAAAAAGGGUAGCAUCUGUUUAUCCUUUGACUCAGCCCAACUUCUAAAGUGCCAUUAUCGAAUGUAGUUUCUUGUUUUCUUAGCUGAUUCAUUUUGAUGUUUCUUGUGAGACACUCAAGACAUUGUCAGAGAAAACAAAAGAUUCACAGGAGAUUCGUGGGAAGAAGCAGCACUUAGAAUGACUCUUCCGUAAGCUGGGUUCACAGUCUCUGAAGAACUUUAUCUCUGGGGAAUGAGAUUCCCAAGCUCACUUCACUUCUGCUCCUCAUUAAAAAAAAAAAUGCUCACAAGCCAGGUGUGGUGUUGCACAUUGGGGUCCCAGCACUCAAGAGAACUGAGGAUCGAAGUUCAAGGCUGACCUGGGCUCCAGAGCAAGUUCCAGACCAACCUAGGCAACAUGAGGACCUGUCUCAAAACAUAAAUAAGUUCUCGAGUAAACAAAUAAAUAACAUAUUUAAGGGAUUUUAGAAAGGAAAAUCAUACAGAGACUCAGAAGCCUGAGAUAGUCACUGUAUUUGUAUUUGCUGCCUUAAGCAAAUGAAAAUUCACCCUAAUUUUUCAUUGUGUA